AGAGUUUGAUCAUGGCUCAGAACGUACGCUGGCGGCACGCCUAACACAUGCAAGUCGAACGAAGUAGCAAUACUUAGUGGCAGACGGGUGAGUAACAUGUAGGUAUCUGCCCUUUGGCCUGGAAUAACACGAGGAAACUUGUGCUAAUACCGGAUAAGUCUUUACGGAGAAAGCUUUAUGCACCAUUGGAUGAGCCUGCACUUGAUUAGUUUGUUGGCGGGGUAAUGGCCUACCAAGACUGUGAUCAAUAGCUGAUUUGAGAGGAUGAUCAGCCACAUUGGGACUGAGACACGGCCCAAACUCCUACGGGAGGCAGCAGUGGGGAAUCUUGCACAAUGGAGGAAACUCUGAUGCAGCGAUGCCGCGUGAGUGAAGAAGGCCCUUGGGUUGUAAAGCUCUUUCGUCGGGGAAGAAAAUGACUGUACCCGAAUAAGAAGGUCCGGCUAACUUCGUGCCAGCAGCCGCGGUAAUACGAAGGGACCUAGCGUAGUUCGGAAUUACUGGGCUUAAAGAGUUCGUAGGUGGUUGAAAAAGUUAGUGGUGAAAUCCCAGAGCUUAACUCUGGAACUGCCAUUAAAACUUUUCAGCUAGAGUAUGAUAGAGGAAAGCAGAAUUUCUAGUGUAGAGGUGAAAUUCGUAGAUAUUAGAAAGAAUACCAAUUGCGAAGGCAGCUUUCUGGAUCAUUACUGACACUGAGGAACGAAAGCAUGGGUAGCGAAGAGGAUUAGAUACCCUCGUAGUCCAUGCCGUAAACGAUGUGUGUUAGACGUUGGAAAUUUAUUUUCAGUGUCGCAGGGAAACCGAUAAACACACCGCCUGGGGAGUACGACCGCAAGGUUAAAACUCAAAUGAAUUGACGGGGACCCGCACAAGUAGUGGAGCAUGUGGUUUAAUUCGAAGAUACGCGCAGAACCUUACCAACACUUGACAUGUUCGUCGCGACUCUAAGAGAUUAGAGUUUUCGGUUCGGCCGGACGAAACACAGGUGCUGCAUGGCUGUCGUCAGCUCGUGUCGUGAGAUGUUGGGUUAAGUCCCGCAACGAGCGCAACCCUCACUUUUAGUUGCCAUCAUUAAGUUGGGCACUCUGAAAGAACUGCCAGUGAUAAGCUGGAGGAAGGUGGGGAUGACGUCAAGUCCUCAUGGCCCUUACGUGUUGGGCUACACACGUGCUACAAUGGUAUCUACAACAGGAAGCAAGACUGCGAAGUUAAGCAAAUCCCUAAAAGAUACCUCAGUUCGGAUUGCACUCUGCAACUCGAGUGCAUGAAGCUGGAAUUACUAGUAAUCGUGGAUCAGCGUGCCACGGUGAAUGCGUUCCCGGGUCUUGUACACACCGCCCGUCACACCAUGGGAGUUGGUUCUACCUUAAGGCAAGGUUUCAAACCCUUGACCACGGUAUAGUCAGCGACUGGGGUGAAGUCGUAACAAGGUA
Molecule: ribosomal RNA, 1433 nt
Filed under: uncultured bacterium
Lineage: Bacteria
Description: bacterial SSU rRNA
Rfam family: Bacterial small subunit ribosomal RNA
Source: RNAcentral